RNAcentral lists this small RNA (373 nucleotides) under Cladophialophora psammophila CBS 110553. RNAcentral describes it as "A. fumigatus sRNA Afu_309". It matches the Rfam family "A. fumigatus sRNA Afu_309". The record is from Rfam by way of RNAcentral. Lineage: Eukaryota; Fungi; Ascomycota; Eurotiomycetes; Chaetothyriales; Herpotrichiellaceae.
CUUUCUCUCAUAACAAAAGUUCUGUGUCGCGGACACUCCCUGCCCACCCAUCGCGGUAGUUUUAUGGUCGAGUGUCCGUGGCGUUUUCGACUGAAUCUGCGGAGCCAUUAACAAGCACCCCCAUUAAUGUCUACUUUCGCUGUCGACAGAACUGAGAGCAACCCUCCGAAUCCUUUGCCUCGCGGCCAGCCCUCUCUGAGCUCGGUUCUUGGGACGAGGCCCUUGAGAUCCUGGCGACCUCGGGUCUUCGAACGGGGACUUUGUCAGCUCGGUGGGCUGAGGUAGUAGGGGAGACGUCUUAUUCCCAAGCUUGGUGUAUUGAGCCUCGUCGAGGCAUGAUCAUUGGGCAAAACCAAGACUAUUGUCUACAUUC